This is an RNA transcript of Formica exsecta, 1123 nucleotides long. RefSeq lists it as uncharacterized. Lineage: Eukaryota; Metazoa; Arthropoda; Insecta; Hymenoptera; Formicidae. The record is from RefSeq and is a predicted model, not a curated record. The transcript has 4 exons.
AAAAAUAUAUUUAUAUAUCGACUAUGUAUAUUAUAUCAGGGAUAAUCUCUUUACGCAGAAGAAAGUUAGAUCAUUCAAAUCCGGGAUACGGAUAACGCACGAAGAACGUGGACAGAUCGCAGAUGACAGAGCGCAGAAUGCGUCCUGCAGUCCACCUUUCCCGCGCCCGCUCCCUUCCUCCCGCCGACUGUUCCUAAUUCCGCCGGUUGCGCGGACGUCAAACAAACAACCGGCAAUUAAAUGCAAAUACGGCUAAUGCGUUCUGGGUCGGAUGUGCAAGUCACCGUGCUCGUUAUGGAGAUCCACCCGCCGGCCAUGUUGUUUCGAGGCCGCGUGUUCUGUUACAUUCCGCGGUCGAUAUCGAUGCGAUGCCGCCGACGCUGACAGCAUCGAAAAAGAGAGAUGCCGCGCUCGGAUAACCCACGUCCAACAAAUACCCGCAAACAGAGCCCGGACCGCGAGCGACUCCGAGGAGAGGAAUUCCUCUUUUGAAUCUCCCUCCCUUUCUCUCUAUCUCUCUUUCUUUCUCUGUCUCGCUCCUUCCUUCUUUCUCCUCGCGCGCCUUCUAGUUCUUUUUUGCCGCGCAGCGCCGCCGUCGCAGAAAAGCGGGUUAUUAAACUAUUACGAAGGCGGCACGGUGUUGAAAGCGGCUCCUCUCUGCUCCUCUCGCCGACUUGCUUCGAAGGAUAAAAGCGGCUGGUAUACAACGAUACCUCGACGAUACGAGAGUAAACGACGUCCAGGAGAAAUGCUAUUGUAGAACGCUCUACAUCUCUUUAACGCGCCGCCGUCGCAGAAAAGCGGGUUAUUAAACUAUUACGAAGGCGGCACGGUGUUGAAAGCGGCUCCUCUCUGCUCCUCUCGCCGACUUGCUUCGAGGGAUAAAAGCGGCUGUAUACACGAUACCUCGACGAUACGAGAGUAAACGACGUCCAGGAGGAAUGCUACUGUAGAAUGCUCUACAUCUCUUUAACGCAAGAUAAAAGAGGAAUUAUUUGAAAGGAAGUUUUUUAAAAUCCUGAAUAAGGAAAACAAUGGAUAAUUUUUGUCGACUGUUUAUUAAUACAUUGCACGCAAAUUUGAACUAACCUCAACCGCUAUAUCGGUGCAAUCUCACCCCCUC